GAUGAACGCUGGCGGCGUGCCUAAUACAUGCAAGUCGAGCGAACAGACGAGGAGCUUGCUCCUCUGACGUUAGCGGCGGACGGGUGAGUAACACGUGGAUAACCUACCUAUAAGACUGGGAUAACUUCGGGAAACCGGAGCUAAUACCGGAUAAUAUAUUGAACCGCAUGGUUCAAUAGUGAAAGACGGUUUUGCUGUCACUUCUAGCUGGAUCCGCGCCGCAUUAGCUAGUUGGUAAGGUAACGGCUUACCAAGGCAACGAUGCGUAGCCGACCUGAGAGGGGGAUCGGCCACACUGGAACUGAGACGCGGUCCAGACUCCUACGGGAGGCAGCAGUAGGGAAUCGUCCGCAAUGGGCGAAAGCCUGACGGAGCAACGCCGCGUGAGUGAUGAAGGUCUUCGGAUCGUAAAACUCUGUUAUGAGGGAAGAACAAAUGUGUAAGUAACUAUGCACGUCUUGACGGUACCUAAUCAGAAAGCCACGGCUAACUACGUG
RNAcentral lists this ribosomal RNA (497 nucleotides) under uncultured bacterium. RNAcentral describes it as "partial 16S ribosomal RNA". It matches the Rfam family "Bacterial small subunit ribosomal RNA", at positions 28 to 507 of the family's 1533-position model. The record is from RNAcentral.